Molecule: ribosomal RNA, 510 nt
Filed under: Triticum aestivum (bread wheat)
Lineage: Eukaryota; Viridiplantae; Streptophyta; Magnoliopsida; Poales; Poaceae
Description: partial small subunit ribosomal RNA
Source: RNAcentral
AUGCUGCUGAAACUGCAGCCGUACACGCAGUCCUCCGUCGUUAAUCGACCCUGCGCCAAGCUAGCUUACAAGUUCUUUGGGCCAUUCAAGGUGGAGGCCAAGAUCGGGGCACUCGCCUACAAGCUGAUUCUGCUGCCGGACAGCUGCAUCCACAACGUCUUCGACGUCUCCCAGCUGAAGCCGUACACACCCAACUACACGCCUGUCUUCACGGAGCUGCCCAAGCCGCCGGAUCUGUCCAUGGUCGAGACGGCGCCCGUGAAGAUCCUCGACAGACGCAUGGUCAAGCGAGGCAACGUAGCACUUGUGCAAAUUCAAGUGCGCUGGACCUCCUCUUCGCCUGCAGCAGUGACAUGGAAAGACUACGACACACUCAAACUUCGUUUUCUGAUAGCAACGAUCUGGCAAGGCAAGGGGUGGCUGGAGCGCCAGGUGACGCUCCUUUUGAUGAAGGGGGGAAAUGUCACACCUGCACCUGCAAGUGCCACGAUGGACCUGAGUAGCCAAUAG